RNAcentral lists this ribosomal RNA (252 nucleotides) under uncultured Bacteroidales bacterium. RNAcentral's name for it is "partial 16S ribosomal RNA". It matches the Rfam family "Bacterial small subunit ribosomal RNA", at positions 524 to 776 of the family's 1533-position model. The record is from RNAcentral. Lineage: Bacteria; Pseudomonadati; Bacteroidota; Bacteroidia; Bacteroidales.
UACGGAGGAUGCGAGCGUUAUCCGGAUUUAUUGGGUUUAAAGGGUGCGUAGGCGGGUUUAUAAGUCAGCGGUAAAAUAGCGGAGCUCAACUCCGUCGAGCCGUUGAAACUGUAGAUCUUGAGUGGGUGAGAAGUAAGCGGAAUGCGUGGUGUAGCGGUGAAAUGCAUAGAUAUCACGCAGAACGCCGAUUGCGAAGGCAGCUUACCGGCGCCCAACUGACGCUGAAGCACGAAAGCGUGGGUAUCGAACAGG